CAGCAGCCGCGGGAAUACGGAGGGAGCUAGCGUUGUUCGGAUUACUGGGCGUAAAGCGCACGUAGGCGGCUUUGUAAGUCAGAGGUGAAAGCCUGGAGCUCAACUCCAGAACUGCCUUUGAGACUGCAUCGCUUGAAUCCAGGAGAGGUGAGUGGAAUUCCGAGUGUAGAGGUGAAAUUCGUAGAUAUUCGGAAGAACACCAGUGGCGAAGGCGGCUCACUGGACUGGUAUUGACGCUGAGGUGCGAAAGCGUGGGGAGCAAACAGGAUUAGAUACCCGGGUAGUCCCUGUCUCUUAUACA
RNAcentral lists this ribosomal RNA (301 nucleotides) under uncultured bacterium. RNAcentral's name for it is "partial 16S ribosomal RNA". It matches the Rfam family "Bacterial small subunit ribosomal RNA", at positions 509 to 808 of the family's 1533-position model. The record is from RNAcentral.